RNAcentral lists this ribosomal RNA (484 nucleotides) under uncultured bacterium. RNAcentral describes it as "partial 16S ribosomal RNA". It matches the Rfam family "Bacterial small subunit ribosomal RNA", at positions 30 to 507 of the family's 1533-position model. The record is from RNAcentral.
AUUGAACGCUGGCGGCAGGCCUAACACAUGCAAGUCGAGCGGAUGAAGGGAGCUUGCUCCUGGAUUCAGCUGCGGACGGGUGAGUAAUGCCUAGGAAUCUGCCUGGUAGUGGGGGAUAACGUCCGGAAACGGGCGCUAAUACCGCAUACGUCCUGAGGGAGAAAGUGGGGGAUCUUCGGACCUCACGCUAUCAGAUGAGCCUAGGUCGGAUUAGCUAGUUGGUGGGGUAAAGGCCUACCAAGGCGACGAUCCGUAACUGGUCUGAGAGGAUGAUCAGUCACACUGGAACUGAGACACGGUCCCGACUCCUACGGGAGGCAGCAGUGGGGAAUAUUGGACAAUGGGCGAAAGCCUGAUCCAGCCCUGCCGCGUGUGUGAAGAAGGUCUUCGGAUUGUAAAGCACUUUAAGUUGGGAGGAAGGGCAGUAAGUUAAUACCUUGCUGUUUUGACGUUACCAACAGAAUAAGCACCGGCUAACUUCGUG